UCGAAUCUAGUUAGCAGGUUUGGGAUGAACCCCAUUUGGAUAAAGAUAAAAAAAAUAUAAAAUAUUGAUCGAGCUUCUAUUAUCAAUAAAGAUAUAGUUUACAUUAAAAUCAGCAAUGUUUGCUGUUACAACCAUCGCAUUAUUGUGCAGGAUAAGUACACCUUCAGCAUCUUGCUCAGUGAAGACAAUGGCAUCCUCGCCCUCAUCUUGAAGCCUUGGCCUCUUCGCCUCUAGAGGCUCUGCCAAUCCAGAUGACCCCCCAAUUAUCAUAUGAAUUUUUUCUUGGAU
This 288-nucleotide long non-coding RNA is filed under the name Elaeis guineensis (African oil palm). Its description in RNAcentral is "long non-coding RNA (EGUI_LNC012771)". Lineage: Eukaryota; Viridiplantae; Streptophyta; Magnoliopsida; Arecales; Arecaceae. The record is from RNAcentral.